Callorhinus ursinus (northern fur seal) is the source of this 360-nucleotide long non-coding RNA. RefSeq lists it as uncharacterized. The record is from RefSeq and is a predicted model, not a curated record. Lineage: Eukaryota; Metazoa; Chordata; Mammalia; Carnivora; Otariidae.
CAUCUCUCAUCGCACUGAACACCAAUUCCCCUGAAAACACAAUCUCGGACUCGCUGAUUUGGGCAGGUGGGAGGAAUAAACGAUAAUUUGGAUUCCUGGUCAUUGAAAAUGCUGAAUUUCAAAAGAAAAUACUCUAUCAUUGGCACACCUUCCCUGAAAUCCUACGGCUGAGCUGCUGAGAUAAAAGAAGAAAGGUGUCAGGCACCUGUUUCUUAAAAAAUACCUGGAAUUUAACCACCAUCCCGGAAAGGAAAAGUUUGAUCAAGAUUAGUUUGGGGGAUGGGAAACAUUCAAAGCAGAGACUGGCCUCUUAAUUACACUCUGAAAAUAAACAAAAAACGAGCAAGUUAUUUCAUUUAC